Molecule: ribosomal RNA, 482 nt
Filed under: uncultured bacterium
Lineage: Bacteria
Description: partial 16S ribosomal RNA
Rfam family: Bacterial small subunit ribosomal RNA
Source: RNAcentral
GAUGAACGCUAGCGGCAGGCCUAAUACAUGCAAGUCGAACGAGAUUACGAGGCUUGCUUCUUAUGAAAGUGGCGCACGGGUGCGUAACGCGUAUGCAACCUACCUUAAUCAGGGGGAUAGCCCGAAGAAAUUCGGAUUAAGACCGCAUAAAAACACAGGAUAGCAUUAUCCAAUGUUCAAAUAUUUAUAGGAUUAAGAUGGGCAUGCGUGUCAUUAGCUAGUUGGCGGGGUAACGGCCCACCAAGGCGACGAUGACUAGGGGAUCUGAGAGGAUGACCCCCUACAACUGUACUGCGGCACGGACCAGUAUCCUACGGGAGGCAGCAGUAAGGAAUAUUGGUCAAUGGAGGGAACUCUGAACCAGCCAUGCCGCGUGCAGGAAGACAGCCCUCUGGGUCGUAAACUGCUUUUAUUCGGGAAUAAACCUUUCUACGUGUAGGAAGCUGAAUGUACCGAAAGAAUAAGGAUCGGCUAACUCCGUG